UAGCAUCUGCGUGUCUCCUCAAGUCUU
This 27-nucleotide non-coding RNA is filed under the name Mus musculus (house mouse). Lineage: Eukaryota; Metazoa; Chordata; Mammalia; Rodentia; Muridae. The record is from RNAcentral.